Molecule: long non-coding RNA, 375 nt
Organism: Talpa occidentalis (Iberian mole)
Lineage: Eukaryota; Metazoa; Chordata; Mammalia; Eulipotyphla; Talpidae
Exons: 3
Source: RefSeq, a predicted model, not a curated record
GCCUCGCUCCUCAGCCUAGGCGGCUGCUUGGGCGUUUCUCCCAAGGGCAGCAAACUGCACCACCCUCCAGGAGAGUCGGAGAGUCAGUAAUAGCAGCUACUCUGCGGGGGCCUCCUGCUAAGUUAAGCACCACUUUCAACGGACCCUUCCAGUCUCUCUACCAGAGAGGCUCUGUCUUGUGACGGGGACGAUGGCUACAUCUGAAGCUGAGCAAAUUUAUUUCUUCCCUUUGUGGCAUCUGGAAGUGAAGUGAAGAUUUCCAUUUAGCGGUGUGCAGGCUUUGCCCAGGCCUCAGUGAGGGCAAAAAAAAAAGGAGACAAGUCAGCAGAGGCAUCUUGCCUUGAUGGGGAGCCCCGGCGAUGGAAAUAAAGGCAG